UGAGUUUUAAGAGUUCAGAGCUCAAGUGCACGGGGAGAUGCGAUUUAUUACUAACAGUUUGAAGGUAAUGUGAUCACAUAAUAAAAUGCAGGGCACGCCCCUUUGGGUGAAAGGUCAGCAUGGGAGGGGGCCCUCCCUGCUCCGGGGCUUCAGGAACGGGAGCUGGUCCUCACGGCCCCCUCCCGCUCUGCAGGCAGCCCUGUGCCAGCCAGAGCAGCCUCAAGGACAUCAACUGGGACAGCUCGCAGUGGCAGCCGCUGAUCCAGGACCGCUGCUUCCUGUCCUGGCUGGUCAAGAUCCCCUCCGAGCAGGAGCAGCUGCGGGCACGCCAGAUCACGGCACAGCAGAUCAACAAGCUGGAGGAGCUGUGGAAGGAAAACCCUUCUGCCACGCUGGAGGACCUGGAGAAGCCGGGGGUGGACGAGGAGCCGCAGCAUGUCCUCCUGCGGUACGAGGACGCCUACCAGUACCAGAACAUAUUCGGGCCCCUGGUCAAGCUGGAGGC
This 505-nucleotide long non-coding RNA is filed under the name Pan troglodytes (chimpanzee). Its description in RNAcentral is "long non-coding RNA NONPTRT008022". Lineage: Eukaryota; Metazoa; Chordata; Mammalia; Primates; Hominidae. The record is from RNAcentral.